Molecule: transfer RNA, 73 nt
Filed under: Puccinia triticina
Lineage: Eukaryota; Fungi; Basidiomycota; Pucciniomycetes; Pucciniales; Pucciniaceae
Description: tRNA-Lys
Rfam family: tRNA
About the family: Transfer RNA (tRNA) molecules are approximately 80 nucleotides in length. Their secondary structure includes four short double-helical elements and three loops (D, anti-codon, and T loops). Further hydrogen bonds mediate the characteristic L-shaped molecular structure. tRNAs have two regions of fundamental functional importance: the anti-codon, which is responsible for specific mRNA codon recognition, and the 3' end, to which the tRNAs corresponding amino acid is attached (by aminoacyl-tRNA synthetases). tRNAs cope with the degeneracy of the genetic code in two manners: having more than one tRNA (with a specific anti-codon) for a particular amino acid; and 'wobble' base-pairing, i.e. permitting non-standard base-pairing at the 3rd anti-codon position.
Source: RNAcentral
CGUUAGCGUAACUCAAUGGUAGAGUGAGUAGCUCUUAACUUCUUUGUUACAGGUUCGAGUCCUGUCGUUAAUA